This is an RNA transcript of Ostrinia furnacalis (Asian corn borer), 2866 nucleotides long. It is a transcript of the gene named tubulin polyglutamylase TTLL13, with no coding region annotated. NCBI's taxonomy places the organism in Eukaryota, Metazoa, Arthropoda, Insecta, Lepidoptera, Crambidae. The record is from RefSeq and is a predicted model, not a curated record. The transcript has 20 exons.
AUGUCUCUCGCAAAAUUUUAAUGAUUUUUAAACCCAAAAGAGUUUGUGCAAUUUCGGUUUGUGUUUUAGGCUUCCCUCGAUAAGUAUCUUUUAUAUUCUGAAUGUUAUUGCAUGGAGGAUGCCUGCCUAACACGAACCUAUACUUAUUUGAAUUAACUCUACUAACACACACAACAAAUGGAGGUGGAGUUACAAGACACUUUCUUGGGUGACGAAGAUCAACAUUCCUUACAAAGUUCUAAACAAACCUACUCUGUCCCAAAUAAACGAAAAAACGAGAAAGUGCAAGAUGAGAAAACCUCAGAACAGCAAGCAAGGGAAGAAAAAGAACAAGCAGAAAACAUAGCCACGAUGCUUAUGAGGAACUACGACUCGAAGCUCUAUGGCGAAGACGACACUUCGCAGCCCACCUCGCGCACCGCACCCAUCAUUCCUAUUGAGGCCACCCGCAAGAAAAAGAAGAGAAAAAGAUCUCAAAUAUCGAUAUGCCUCACGAACUGCCGGUACGAGUCGAUCCGCAAAGUGGCGAGUGCCUUCGGCAUGCGUGAGGUGUCUGAGGAGGACGCGUGGAACUUCUACUGGACCGACAUGAGUGUCUCUGUCGAGCGCGCGAAGGAGAUGAAGAGGUUCCAACGCAUCAACCACUUCCCAGGGAUGCUUGAGAUUUGCAGAAAGGAUCUGUUGGCAAGGAACUUGAACAGAAUGCAAAAAAUAUACCCGAAGGAGUAUAACUUCUUCCCGAAAACUUGGUGCUUGCCUGCCGAUUUCGGAGAAGCUCUCAACUACAGUAAAUCAAGGAAGAACAAAACUUUUAUCAUUAAGCCCGAAUGCGGGAGUCAGGGCCGUGGCAUCUAUCUCACAAAAUCACUAAAGGACAUCAAACCUACAGAUAAACUUAUCUGUCAGGUGUACAUUUCAAAACCAUACCUAGUGGACGGAUAUAAGUUCGAUAUUAGAGUGUACACGCUAAUCACUUCAUGCGAUCCACUCAGGAUAUUCGUGUACAACGAAGGCUUAGUAAGAUUCGCCACUAGCCGGUACGCCGAUCCGAACGUCAACAAUACUACGAACGUGUUCAUGCACCUCACUAACUAUGCGCUCAACAAGCACAGUCGUACCUACGUUUACGACUCGGAGGCGGGCAGCAAACGCAAGAUAUCGACGCUAAACAAGAUCCUGGUGUCGCAAGGCAUCGACCUGGACCGGCUGUGGCACUCCAUCGACCAGGUCAUCGUGAAGACCAUCAUCUCCGCGUGGCCGAUACUCAAGCACAGCUACCACGCGUGCUUCCCUUCACACGACAUGGUACAUGCGUGUUUCGAAAUACUUGGCUUCGAUAUACUUCUGGAUCAUAAGUUGCAUCCCUUCAUAUUAGAAGUAAAUCACUCGCCAAGUUUCCACACGGACACGCAGCUGGACCGCGAGGUGAAGGAGAGCCUUCUAACGGACACGUUCACGAUGCUGAACAUCUGGCAGUGCGACAAGAAGCGCGUGCUCGAGGAGGACCGCAAACGCAUCCGCGACCGGCUGCUGCAGACCAACAAGUUUGCCGAGUUCGUGCCAGCUGAUGAAAAGGAACCAGAGAAAAGUCCGUGGCAAACGCAAAUACAGUGGGAGGAGACGCAUCUGGGAAAUUUCAGACGCGUGUAUCCGGUGGGCGAGCAGUACGCGUCGCUGUUCCAGCAGCCGUCCGGCUCGCUGUACACCGGAACGGCGUCUUCACGCGCGCGCGGCGACUGCACGCGGAUACAACGGGAGGAGUUCCAGCAAACAAAAGCCAAAGCCGAAGCCCUAAAGAAGCCGUCCCAGCCGAAGAAUUUGAAAGAAGGUGAGAAGAAGGGAGAGGAGACGAGUGGCCCGCCCACCGUCACCAACUCCACCGCCACCGCCACCGUGGCCUCAGAGAAGGGCAAGCAGAAGCCACGGAGCGACAAGGACAAAGAAAAACGGAAGGAUAACGACAAGGAUAAGAAACUUACCGCCAAACCAUCGCUUGCGCAACAACCGGUCCCAGAAAAAGAAAUAAAGCCACCUUACGUGCUUUGCUCGUAUGAACCUGAUCCCAUAGUUGAGAAGGAGGAACGCGAGAGAGUCAAUCUUCUGGCUCAGAGGGAUUUCCUAAUAAGGAGUUAUGGCAUGUUGGAACAGAUAUAUCUAGUCAUGAAAAAAAUGGGUACACUGAGGCCCGAAGAUGAAAGAAAGUAUGGCGUAUAUGGACGGCUCUCCGUAGUAUCCAACUCACCCAAGAAAGUGUGAACGUAAACGCUGCAUGAAAAGUAAAAUAUAAAAACGAAAAAAAAAUUAGAUGUAAGAAAUUACAGAAGAAACAAAAUAAAUUUUGUGUACAGACCGCCAUAAAGAAGAGCAAAAAAUGUAAUAAGCACAAACCAAACAACAAAGGAGAUCAUUUGGAUUUUGGACUGAAAGUGCAAUGCAAAGAUGCGGUGAUCUACGAGCGCCCGGCGGCCGAGGCAGGCGCCGCGGACCGCACCACGAAGACACACCUAGCGCGAAUGGCUUACACCAUUUGGAAGAUGAACACGUUGGCCAGACCAGUCCCUCUAUCUGAGUGAUGAAACCAAUUAUUGUGUUUGAAUAAAUCGGCAACUUUAUAGUGACGUCGUUGUGUUCUAAUACUGUGCCAUUCAAUGCUUCGCUCUCGUGAGUAAGUGUUUAUCGAAUAAUGCCAAAUGUAGAUGUAACGACUUACCAUGUCUAUUUAUAAAUGCUAGUUACCAGCUUAGGUUACGCAAUAUUGUAAUGACUGAAGUAUUAUUACUAUGAAAUCUUGUGCUCUUGGCUAUUAUUAAAUCGAACUUCAUAAUAGUUAUAUAAUCAUAUUGUUACUGUUUUGUAAAUUCUGGUG